Molecule: long non-coding RNA, 1512 nt
Organism: Alligator mississippiensis (American alligator)
Lineage: Eukaryota; Metazoa; Chordata; Crocodylia; Alligatoridae
Exons: 3
Source: RefSeq, a predicted model, not a curated record
UUAAUUUCUCUUCUAUACUGGAUUAUUUUGACUCCAACAGAAAGGACAGAAAGAGUCCUCUACACUUCUGUCAAAUCCAAAUUAUCACCUGUCCCAAUCUCCCAUCUGAAACCUCACUCUAGGCUAUGCACAAACAAACAAACUGCAGUGAGAAAAUAUAAAGUUACCAUGGUUUAGUUUUAACUUAGAGUGGGGUAAGAACACAGACAAAACUAUCACCAUGGAGCUUCUGACUCCCUGGGUUCUUUUAAAUCACUAAUUUAUUUGUUUGUCCAUAUCCAGACUUCCCUACUGCUGAUCAGCUGAUCGUAAGUGAGCUGAUUGGUGACCGUUACUCCAGUAGCCUGAAGAAGACAUGACCACAGGGUAUAAUGAGGGACUUCCAGUCUAUAUCAGCUUCUAGCAAGUCAAACCCCAACACCCAGAUUUUAAAUAAAGAUCAGCAUUUUUGGACCAUUUAAAAAGAAAGAAUAAAUUUUCUCCAGAAGUAGAAUCUCAUUUUACUAACAUUUUAUUCCAAUUUAAAGUAUUACUGGUUUCAAACGUGAAGCACAUAUAUAGCACGUAUCAGAACAACCAGCAGCGGCUGCAUGCUUUUUAGCUCAGUGCAGCAAGAAUGUUAGUUUUCUAUGCUACUACGCUUUUUUAGCAUCACUAUUCCAUGUGCAUUUGAAAUACUGGGUCUUCGGAAGCAGACCCUAAGUUUUAGGCACAGUAGCAUGCUUUAGGAAGCCAGCCAUGAAAGAAGAUUGCAUAAAAGACUAUGAUAAUGCAACAUAAUGGUUGAGAUUCUUAAACAAACACAUCCAAAAGUAUUACUCUUUUGUUCUCACAGCAAUAGAAAUGCCUUGCUUGGGCCUGAAGACUACUCAGCCUUAUAUCCUAUUCACAACACAAGGAGAAUGGGUGGCGAGUCCUACCACCAGACAAGGGCCAGAACUGCGGGACCUGAAGGUUCCUCGUCAGUUGAGCCAAGAAGGUCUGAAAAGCAGAUGGUGAAAAACGGACACUAGGAAGCCAAGAAAAAAAAAAGGAAAACAACAGGAUCAGAAACAUCAGAGGGAGAGAACCCAAGCCACAAAAACGGAAGAUACAGCAAAGGAAGAAACAAGAACCUUCCCUGAGAAGUGAUAACCAAUUUUGAGGAGAUGGCCCAUUUUCCUCAUCUGGAAGGAAGGUAACUGCCAGUGAAUCCUCUUGGCUGUUACUAUUACAAUCCUCCUGGAGUGAAAGUUGAGUUUUUCCAGAUGGUUCAGCUGAGACCCAGGAACAGGAAACUGAAUGCAAGCUGCCUGCACGUAAUACAGGUUACUGCUACCAAGCAGCCAGGAGUGCUAACAGUUGAGUCAAGUGGGCAGAGUCAACGCACCCCUACGAACUGAAUGAAAGUAUUAAGUAGGAAGCAGUACCAAGGAUGGCAAGGGAAACUCAGGUGUGAUGCCAAGAACACGCUUUGGCAGCUGCAAUUUCAAAAAAAGAAAACAAAUAAAUGAAGUGAUCAGAUUUUUUAAA